CGCGUAGGCGGCCACCGCAAGUCGACUGUGAAAUCUCCGGGCUUAACCCGGAAAGGUCAGCCGAUACUGCGGGGCUAGAGUGCAGAAGGGGCAACUGGAAUUCUCGGUGUAGCGGUGAAAUGCGUAGAUAUCGAGAGGAACACCUGCGGCGAAGGCGGGUUGCUGGGUUGACACUGACGCUGAGGCGCGAAAGCUAGGGGAGCGAACG
Molecule: ribosomal RNA, 208 nt
Filed under: uncultured bacterium
Lineage: Bacteria
Description: partial 16S ribosomal RNA
Rfam family: Bacterial small subunit ribosomal RNA
Source: RNAcentral